Piliocolobus tephrosceles (Ugandan red Colobus) is the source of this 3616-nucleotide long non-coding RNA. NCBI's taxonomy places the organism in Eukaryota, Metazoa, Chordata, Mammalia, Primates, Cercopithecidae. The record is from Ensembl.
UUUGUAUGGUGAUAUCAUAUUUUAACAUGAUAUAAAAAACAAUAUGACAGAAAGGUACUCAAAAGAAAAAGACUUGUUGUGCUCUAUAAACAGAUAUGAUAUAAAUAAAAUUAUAGAGAAUACAGAAGAAAAUGAUAAAUUUGUAGCAUGCAAUGAUAAUAAUAGCAUAUGUGAAUACCGAAUCCCAUUUCUUCUACCCCCUAUUGAAAACAAUAAAGAUGAAUCAGAAAAGAAUUCAACCGACAAUUAUCUUGAUGAUGGUGCAUCAUCGAUAAUUUCAAAAUAUGAAGAAGAAAAUAAUAUAGAGAAAAAAACAAAAACUAAAGAUCAUAAACGAAGUGAGAGGAUUAAUAUUAUAAUUAUUGAGAAUAAAAAUGGGAUAAAUGAUUUCGAAGAAAUUAUGUCGAUGGCUAAUGGAAAUGACGAAAAUAUAGAAAAGAAAUUAAAUGAUAAAUUUUAUGAAUUAUGUUGUAAAAGCAUUGCAGAUAUAAAUACAUAUAAUUUAAAUAAAACUAAAAAUUUAAAUAAAACUAAAAAUUUAAAGAAAACGCAAGGUUCUUUAAAAAUUGAGCAUAUUGAUUAUGGUGAUAUAUUUUUAACUAUACAUCAUAAUAUGAAGAGUAAACGGGGAGAUAAGAGUAAUAUGUUAAAUGAUCAUGAUUCAUCAAACAAUUGGAAACAUAGAUACAUUUUAGGAAAUUACAGAAAUCACAAAAAAAAAAAAAAAAAAAAAAANNNNNNNNNNNNNNNNNNNNNNNNNNNNNNNNNNNNNNNNNNNNNNNNNNNNNNNNNNNNNNNNNNNNNNNNNNNNNNNNNNNNNNNNNNNNNNNNNNNNAUGUACACAUAAAAAUACAAAAAGUGGAUAUAUAUAUCACAUAAACAAAGAUAAUUAUUUAAAAGGGAAUAUAAACAAAAAAAAUUAUUAUAAUAAUAAUCGUAAACAUUUGAUUAAUUAUAAAAUUGAUAAGGAUAUUGGAAGUGUGCGUAAAAAUGUGACUCAACCAUAUAAUUUGCAAAAAAGAGUAAAUAUGGACGCGUUUAACGCUCGUAAUGAUAAAAGCGGUUGUAGUGGUGGUCGGCGCAUCGGUUGUAGUGAUAGUCGGAGCAUCGGUUGUAGUGAUAGUCGGAGCAUCGGUUGUAGUGAUAGUCGGAGCAUCAGUCGUAAUGAAAAUUACAGUACUAGUGUAAUCGGGUGUGAUGAACUUACAUUGAAAGAUAGAACAUUUUUAAAAAAAAUAUAUAUAAAAAGAAAUAAGAACAAUGAAAGUGGUUUAAUUCGUUUUCCUCGUGAUAAUGAUGAUAAAAUAUAUACAAAUAAAUAUGAUACAGAUAGCGAAAUCCAUUAUGAUAACGUAUUAAACAAAGUUAGACAAAGUACGGAUAAUCAUAAUAAGCACAAUAUGAGUGAUUCUGAAGAAAUGGGAGAAUGUUUGGGUGUAAUUAAAAAUAACAAUACUACUUUUUAUGAAACUUCAAAGUUAAAUAUGAUAGGAAAUAAUAGAAUAAAGUAUAUUGAUGAAAAAAUGCAGGAAGCGAAUGCAAUAAGGUAUUACUCAGAGGUGAAUAAUAAAAAAAAGUGUAUUUUGUAUAAUAAAUGUGGAAGUGAAAAUAUUGGAGGAGGAGGAGGAAGAGGAGUAGAUGAGCAGUCCUAUAUGAAGGAGUACUCAUCUGAGAAUAAUCACCUUUUUAUGGAAGAGUCUCCAUCUGUAAAUAAUCAUACUAGUAGAAUAUUUGAUGAACGAAACGUAGAUACUUUUGCAACAACUUGUGAGGAACCAGUUAUAGUAGAAGUGAUGGAUACUAACUCAUCAGAACCUGUUUUAUCGACAACAAGAAAGAUAAGCGCAAAUGGAAUAUAUGGUGAGAACGUCGUUAAUUACAUUUGCAAUAAAAAAGAAGGAAGCAGUGUAAAUAAAAUUAAUAACUAUUAUGAUGAAGAGGGUGAAGAGGGUGAAGAGGGUGAAGAAGAUGUUGAAAGAGUUGAAAGAGUUGAAAAAGUUGAAAAAGUUGAAAAAGUUGAAAAAGUUGAAAAAGUUGAAAUUGUUGAAAAUAAGUUGAACGGACGUGAUAUAAAUUCAAAGGAAACGUUGCAACCAGUAGUAUUUUCCGCCGAGUGUUCUUCGAAUGGUGUCGUAAAUUUUGAAUACAUAGACACAGGGGGCGAGAAAGAGGACACUAAAGUUAUUGGUGAUGUCGAUAUAAACAACGUGUUAAGUCACACAAAUUUUGAUAAAAAUGAUUCCAGCUUAUUACAUAAAUCGAAAGAGAUAAGUAAAGGUACAAACGAAGGUGGAUACUGUUACAUGAAUGUUGAUAAUAGUGGUAGUAAUGGUAAUAAAACAAAGCAUGACACAGGAGACGAUCAUAUUAGUGAAAAAAAAAAAGAGGAAGUAGUAUCUAAAGACAAUGAAAAAUUAGUUAUAAAAAACAAUAAUGUGAUACAUAUUGAUGAUGAUAAGUGUAAUGGAUCAUUUAAAUUAAGUUCAGAUAGUUUAAAUCAAAAAAGUGAAACUUCAGAUACUUAUCCAUCUAGUAAAGAAGAUAAAGAAUAUUUUAAUUUGUUAUUACAGAAGUAUGAACAAACCAAGUUUACUGUUAAUGAGUUUGAAAACGAAAUCGUUGACAUUAAUAAUUUAUUAAUAGAUGAUGUCAUGUCGGAUAACUUACAAAAACGUUCGAGCAUACCGUUAGGACAUUCACCUAAGAAGGGCGAAAUAACAAAUGUGAUAUUUAAUAAAAAAGAAAAAAACUGUGGUAAUAUAAAUGUACAGGAAGAAAAUUAUGCUACCUUAUUUGAAGUAAAGAAAAGUGAAAAUGUAGAAAAAGUUGAAGAUGUGGAUAAUAAAAAGGUAAAUAUUACUGAAGAGAGGAUAGAAGUAAAUGUGUGCGAAGAGCAAAUUAGUGGCAGUAAGGACAAACUGCAAAGUAAUGGUCAUGAGAACAUACAAGAAAGUAUUGAUAAUAAAGACGAUUUAAGUAAAGGCUUAAACAGUAGUAAGGAGAAACAAGACGAACUAAUAAGUAGGAGUGGAGGAUAUAACAAAUUGUUAAAUGAUGACUUAUACCAUUUAUAUAAUGUAAAAUUUCAUGAUUUGCAAAAUUUAAAAGCAUACGAUUUUGGUUAUUCAAAAAGUUUAUUAAAAAAGGAUAUAUUUAUAUAUAGUAAUAGCUUAAAGAGUGAUGAAGAUGGAGGUGAGGUUGGGGGUGUGUUGUAUAACCGAAUUAGUAAUAAUAUAAAAAAUAAAAAAAAAAAGUUUAUAGAUGAUAACGUAAUAAAUGAAUGUGACACAUGUGGUGAUAAUAAUUUUGAAAUUGAUAAGGAAGCUAGAGAAAUGAACCUAUGUUUGGAACAACUUAAAAAGGAUAUAACAAAUAAAAUAAAAUUAAAUAAAGAAAAUGAUGGAGAAGUAAAUAAUAUAUUAGAUUUUUUAGAUUUAAAUGAAUGUAAUGAUGGUUUUAGUAGUGGUGGGGGGGUAGCAGAUCUGCCACAUAAUAAUGAUUUAUAUAUGAAUAAUGAAAUAAGUGGUGAUGGAAAUAUUAUAGGAAGAGACGAUUUUCCUGACAUAUUUAAGACUGACAAGAAUGGAGAAGAUGGAGAGGGUGGAGAAGGUGGAGA